RNAcentral lists this transfer RNA (92 nucleotides) under Micromonospora sp. 15K316. RNAcentral's name for it is "tRNA-Met". The record is from RNAcentral. Lineage: Bacteria; Bacillati; Actinomycetota; Actinomycetes; Micromonosporales; Micromonosporaceae.
GUGGCUGUAGUUGCAGCUAGUGGGCGCAGUCUCCGCCACGAGGGCCACUCAUAAUCCCUCGGUCGCGGGUUCGAGUCCCGCCCGCCCCACCU